UACGUAGGGUGCGAGCGUUAAUCGGAAUUACUGGGCGUAAAGCGUGCGCAGGCGGUUAUUUAAGUCAGGUGUGAAAGCCCUGGGCUUAACCUAGGAAUUGCGCUUGAGACUGGAUAGCUUGGAGUGCGGCAGAGGAGGUGGUGAAUUCCACGUGUAGCAGUGAAAUGCGUAGAGAUGUGGAGGAACACCGAUGGCGAAGGCAGCCUCCUGGGCCAGCACUGACGCUCAUGCACGAAAGCGUGGGGAGCAAACAGG
Molecule: ribosomal RNA, 255 nt
Filed under: uncultured bacterium
Lineage: Bacteria
Description: partial 16S ribosomal RNA
Rfam family: Bacterial small subunit ribosomal RNA
Source: RNAcentral